Molecule: long non-coding RNA, 990 nt
Filed under: Homo sapiens (human)
Lineage: Eukaryota; Metazoa; Chordata; Mammalia; Primates; Hominidae
Description: non-protein coding lnc-KLHL25-1:4
Source: RNAcentral
CAGCUCCAUGCCAGGACCCAGGGCUCCAAAGCCAUUUCCAGGAUUUAGCACACAAAUGUCCAUAGAGCAUUUGCAAACAAGCAAUGAGAGCAGAGGUAUCCGGUGUAUCCCAACCACCCUCCUGCGGAUCCCCACGCCUCCCCUGCGCAUCCCAUGCGGGCAGCAGCACACAGGAGACCACAGGCUAAGCCUGAACCACAGGCAGACUCACCAGGCACGCCCCAUGGCCUGUGCUCAUGCCCUCAGGUGGUGACGAAAGGUAGGGGAAGCUCAGGCCGGGGAAGGUGUGGGGGGUGAGUGCUUCCUGCAGAAGCCCCUCCGGACUGCAGCACAGGUGGUCCCACCUGGUUGUAGGGCAGGUCACUCACUUCGGUGGCAGGGGACACAGCCAGUGGGGGGUUGCACGCCUUUAACCCUUAGUGAGAUGGAGAAGUAAUUCAUGGCCUAUCAAUCUUUUGACAAUUAAAUUAGAUGAGUACUUGGAAAGAUGCCUUUAUUUUCCCUUCCUCCCCCCCGCCUCCCUUUUAUGGCAGCAUUAAAACACUUUUCAUUUUAAAGCCUGGCCAGCAGGCAGUAGAUUCCAAGGCUCUGGUUAACUAGGAAUGCUUUGCUACAUUGAAAGGAAAGUUCAAAACCAAGCCCAAACUCCCUGCCCUCUUCUUUGUCUCUGAGGAUGGACGAGAGCGACGGGGCUGGCUGGGACGCAUCCAUAGGUGGCUGCGCACCUAGACGGUCCUGCUGAAGGAAGGCAAGGCACACAGAUCUCCAGCAGCCGCUGCCCCAAUUCCAUCCACAGGGUUAUUUCUAGGCUCCCACAUUCCAAGGACAUCCAAAACGCAGAGGGUGCACAUCGUUCUGCAGUGUCUGGGGUCACCUCACAGCCACCCUCUUUGUGACCACUUGAAGCCCAUUCACCAGGACUGUCUUUCUAAACUCCCUCCCAGGGCCUGCCUGGCUGUCCUCUGGGCACAGCUGGGCCACCAUCAUUAG